RNAcentral lists this ribosomal RNA (465 nucleotides) under uncultured Klebsiella sp. RNAcentral describes it as "bacterial SSU rRNA". It matches the Rfam family "Bacterial small subunit ribosomal RNA", at positions 338 to 795 of the family's 1533-position model. The record is from RNAcentral. Lineage: Bacteria; Pseudomonadati; Pseudomonadota; Gammaproteobacteria; Enterobacterales; Enterobacteriaceae.
CCUACGGGUGGCUGCAGUGGGGAAUAUUGCACAAUGGGCGCAAGCCUGAUGCAGCCAUGCCGCGUGUGUGAAGAAGGCCUUCGGGUUGUAAAGCACUUUCAGCGGGGAGGAAGGCGGUGAGGUUAAUAACCUCAUCGAUUGACGUUACCCGCAGAAGAAGCACCGGCUAACUCCGUGCCAGCAGCCGCGGUAAUACGGAGGGUGCAAGCGUUAAUCGGAAUUACUGGGCGUAAAGCGCACGCAGGCGGUCUGUCAAGUCGGAUGUGAAAUCCCCGGGCUCAACCUGGGAACUGCAUUCGAAACUGGCAGACUAGAGUCUUGUAGAGGGGGGUAGAAUUCCAGGUGUAGCGGUGAAAUGCGUAGAGAUCUGGAGGAAUACCGGUGGCGAAGGCGGCCCCCUGGACAAAGACUGACGCUCAGGUGCGAAAGCGUGGGGAGCAAACAGGAUUAGAUACCCGUGUAGUC